UGGGUUUGGGCGGGUUUGCGGGUACAAUUGCCAUCCCUAAUUAUUGAUGGUCUCUGUCUAUCUGGUAAAUAGAAAUAGACCAUUAUUAAUUCCAGAUGUCCGCAGAAUCAGAAGCAUCUGGUAAGCCAAGGACCAAUUAACCAAAGCCCCAGCUUCGGCAAUAGUAAAAUCACCUAAAACAAGUUUACAAUAUUACGCUACAAUGAUGUAUUUCUAUUGCUGAUACUUAAUUACCUUGUUGUUUUAUUUCUAAUUAAUAGUUGUAGUUGUAGUUGUAAUUGGAAUUAUUAUUGUAAUUAUUAUUAAAAUUGGGUAACCCAUGUAUUGGAUGGUAAAUAAGUAGUUUUAUAAAUUGUAAUGAUUGUUAUUCAAUGCAACUGUUAAGAAAUAAACAGUCGCUUAUUCUGACUAUAAUAAUUUGGAAGCUAACAUGAUGGACGGCGAGUCAUUUUACAAUAAACUAGGAUGACCUGACGUCAUCCACAAGGAUAAGACAUGAAUGACAGAUCGUUUCUAUUCAAAAUAUAAAUGACGAUACAUAAAUAAUAUGCGUCGGUGUAUUCUAUUUACACAUGUCGGUUGUAGUAAUGUCUCAGAUGACAGAUCGUUCCUCCUCUAUUUAGGUAGACUACACUUCGGUUUAAUACAAAAUGAUAAAUGACUAAUCAUCUAAAACCUUUGUGCCGAUUUAAGUACUUUUAAUAUUUAUUAUUAUUAUUUUUUCUUUGUUACUACUAUAAUAGAUAAUAAAAUAAUAAUAUUAAGAAAAAUAAUUAACUAAGUACAUUUUGACAAUUUCUAGUAGUCAAUUUCGAUUUUUAGACAAAGUAAGCGUACCAACGAAAAUACAGCAUUAUAGUCAUCUAAUAAUUUAAUUUUAACUAAGUUAGAGUUUAAUAAAUGAACCGCAUAACUAAUCUUUGGCCCAAAAUGCGCAUUAUUGAAAUGUAAAGUGAAAGAUUGAUCCAUUUGGUGCAGUAGAGGCCCAACUCUGCCCAAAAAAAACAAUUAUAUGAGCAUGAAAAUGCUUGCAAAAGCGUGGGAAUUGGCGUGGAAUAAAAUUCUUCUCUUAUAUUUUAUUAUAAACUUUCAAUAACCAUAGAAAUAUAUACAAUAU
This 1117-nucleotide long non-coding RNA is filed under the name Citrus x clementina. Its description in RNAcentral is "Citrus clementina (C. clementina) long non-coding RNA (CCLE_LNC000124)". The record is from RNAcentral. Lineage: Eukaryota; Viridiplantae; Streptophyta; Magnoliopsida; Sapindales; Rutaceae.